Molecule: ribosomal RNA, 213 nt
Filed under: uncultured bacterium
Lineage: Bacteria
Description: partial 16S ribosomal RNA
Rfam family: Bacterial small subunit ribosomal RNA
Source: RNAcentral
UAGCCUGGUAGCGGGGGAUAACUAUUGGAAACGAUAGCUAAUACCGCAUAAUAUUAAUUAUUGCAUGAUAAUUGAUUGAAAGAUGCAACUGCAUCACUACCAGAUGGACCUGCGUUGUAUUAGCUAGUAGGUGAGGUAACGGCUCACCUAGGCGACGAUACAUAGCCGACCUGAGAGGGUGAUCGGCCACACUGGGACUGAGACACGGCCCAG